AGAAACAGGGGGGUCGCUCGCGGCUUGUGCGUCUCUUUUCUCGCCUCUUUUUCGAAGUGUUUCGCGACACGGAUGACUGGGAGUGCCGGGAGAUCUGCGCGCGCUCGUCGCGUCGGCCACAAACCCUUGAAGCACGGACGUAGGAUGCGAGUGCCCAGUGGGCCACUUUUGGUAAGCAGAACUGGCGCUGUGGGAUGAACCAAAAGCCGGGUUACGGCGCCCGAUGCGGACGCUUAUCAGACCCCAUGAAAGGUGUUGGUUGCUAUUGACAGCAGGACGGUGGCCAUGGAAGUCGGAAUCCGCUAAGGAGUGUGUAACAACUCACCUGCCGAAGCAACUAGCCCUGAAAAUGGAUGGCGCUCCAGUGUCGAGCCUAACCCCGGCCGUCGGAAGGCAUUGAAAAAACGCAAAACGAAAGAACAAAAAACGAUGCCCCGACGAGUAGGAGGGUCGCGGUGGUGGGCGUUGAAGGGAUCGGGCGCGAGCCUGCCUGGAGCCGCCACCGGUGCAGAUCUUGGUGGUAGUAGCAAAUACUCGAGUGAGAACCUUGAAAACUGAAGUGGAGAAGGGUUCCAUGUGAACAGCAGUUGAACAUGGGUCAGUCGGCCCUAAGGAAUAGGGGAAACCCGUUCUGAAAAGAAACCGGAAUCAUAAAAAGAAAGAAAGAAAGAAAGAAAGAAAAAUGACCGGUGAUGACCGAAAGGGAAUCGGGUUAAUAUUCCCGAACCCGGAUGCGGAGAUCGACCUUAACGGGUCUGAAGCGGUAACGCGCAACGAACUCGGAGAUUGCCGGCGGGGUGUUGGGUGGUCGUUUUUCACUGCUUGAUACUUUGCGGAUCAUGCGUAGCGCUCAACUGGCAUGAUAGCUCGCCUUGAGCAGAUUGCAGGUGGUCGCUGACUCAGAGAAACACUUCGCGUACUCACUAGUACUCCUCUGACCUCGGAAAUGAUGAACACGGAACAGGAAGAGUGAGUAAGUCCUCUGGCUGAGCUUACCUAGCUCUCAUAAGCCACACUCAUAAACAAGCCAUUAAAUAAUAAAAUCAUAAAAUUAAUUUAAUGGAUAAAUGAAUGAAAAACUUACAAAACAAAAACUCCAGACUAGCCAACUACUUGUU
Molecule: non-coding RNA, 1118 nt
Filed under: Strigamia maritima
Lineage: Eukaryota; Metazoa; Arthropoda; Chilopoda; Geophilomorpha; Linotaeniidae
Description: Eukaryotic large subunit ribosomal RNA
Rfam family: Eukaryotic large subunit ribosomal RNA
Source: Rfam by way of RNAcentral